This 410-nucleotide ribosomal RNA is filed under the name uncultured bacterium. RNAcentral describes it as "bacterial SSU rRNA". It matches the Rfam family "Bacterial small subunit ribosomal RNA", at positions 30 to 443 of the family's 1533-position model. The record is from RNAcentral.
AUUGAACGCUGGCGGCAUGCCUUACACAUGCAAGUCGAACGGUAACGGGCCUUCGGGUGCCGACGAGUGGCGAACGGGUGAGUAAUGCAUCGGAACGUACCUUUCAGUGGGGGAUAACGUAGCGAAAGUUACGCUAAUACCGCAUAUUCUGUGAGCAGGAAAGCAGGGGAUCGCAAGACCUUGCGCUGAUUGAGCGGCCGAUGUCAGAUUAGCUAGUUGGUGAGGUAAAGGCUCACCAAGGCGACGAUCUGUAGCGGGUCUGAGAGGAUGAUCCGCCACACUGGAACUGAGACACGGUCCAGACUCCUACGGGAGGCAGCAGUGGGGAAUUUUGGACAAUGGGGGCAACCCUGAUCCAGCCAUGCCGCGUGAGCGAAGAAGGCCUCGGUUGUAAAGCGUCUUCGGUCCGG